GACAGAGGGUGCAAACGUUGUUCGGAAUUACUGGGCGUAAAGAGCGUGUAGGCGGUUAGGUAGGUCCGUUGUGAAAACUCGAGGCUCAACCUCGAGACGCCGAUGGAAACCAUCUAACUAGAGUCCGGAAGAGGAGAGUGGAAUUCCUGGUGUAGCGGUGAAAUGCGCAGAUAUCAGGAAGAACACCCGUGGCUAAGGCGGCUCUCUAGUACGGUACUGACGCUGAGACGCGAAAGCGUGGGGAGCGAACAGG
This 253-nucleotide ribosomal RNA is filed under the name uncultured bacterium. RNAcentral describes it as "partial 16S ribosomal RNA". It matches the Rfam family "Bacterial small subunit ribosomal RNA", at positions 524 to 776 of the family's 1533-position model. The record is from RNAcentral.